Molecule: long non-coding RNA, 763 nt
Organism: Gambusia affinis (western mosquitofish)
Lineage: Eukaryota; Metazoa; Chordata; Actinopteri; Cyprinodontiformes; Poeciliidae
Exons: 4
Source: RefSeq, a predicted model, not a curated record
CCAUCAAGGCCAGGUGCAAGCCAUUAGUAUUAAUUGAACUUCUUUUGCGUGGAAGAAGAGGUAAGACUCAUACAGAAUCUCUUAAGACAUUUAAGUACAUAUUGAUUUGUAAUUCUGAAGAAUGUUGUAGGUUACUUGAUGUUUGGAUGCACCAAAGCAUCUGAUUUGCUUCAGUUUAGCUAGUUAUCACCAACCAUCUUAGUCAGUGUACCAGAGUUUAAAGGGAAGGUGGCUCACUCCAGAAUUAGACAAAACUGUAUUUGGACAUUUUCUGUGCAUCAGAGAUGUCAGCAACAAGGUCUCAGAGAGCAAAAAGAAAUCCCAAACAUGAUGCCAGCUAUUAUUCUCCUUGGGUGAAGAUAAUGAGGGAUUUGAUGUAAAAUACAUCAAUUCAUUUAAAGGUCGGGGUGUGUUCAGCUGCCAGUGCUUUCAAAAAGGAGAUUUCCUUAUUGAGUGCAGAGGGGAAGUCAUAAGUAGGAAGGAACAAGAAAACCGAUUGAAAAUUUACCAUGAUGCACUCCAGGCUUUUAUGUUUGAUUUCAAGUUCAAUGGACAACAGCUUUGUGUUGAUGCUGCCAGAGAACAUGGAUCAUUGGGGAGGCUGGUAAAUGAUGAAGAGAUGAACACAAACAACAAAAUGAAAGUUACAAGGGUGGAUGGAAGACGUCAUCUCUGUUUGUUUGCACUCAAAGAUAUUGGUCCAGGGGAAGAAAUGACUUAUAAUUGUAGUGAUUCUGACUGGCUAUGGAGAAGAAGGGUACUA